UUUUUGAACAGAGGCAUGCCCUUUUUGUCGAAGAGUGCGGGAAGCUAUGACCGAGCUGGAUCUUUCUGCAGAGGUCUAUCCAUGUCCAAAAGGAUCAGUAAGACACAAAGAAAUCGUUCGUAAAAUUGGCGGUCAUGAGCAGUUUUGAUUCUUAUCAUUUGGAGCUUCUGAUGCUGUGGAGGUUUUCUGUGUUCCAAAAGUGUAGGCAGUUUGG
Molecule: long non-coding RNA, 214 nt
Organism: Asparagus officinalis (garden asparagus)
Lineage: Eukaryota; Viridiplantae; Streptophyta; Magnoliopsida; Asparagales; Asparagaceae
Exons: 3
Source: RefSeq, a predicted model, not a curated record